AGAUAGUGUUAACUGAAGAACCUGUCUUUCAGCAUCUCAGUUCAAAGAGAUGUGGGCUGACCUUGGAGCUGCUAUUGAUGACUUCUUGUUCUCUAACAGCUUGGCAUCUCCUACACAAAGUCUUGAAGAUCAACAGUGUGAUGAGGCACUGGAUUGUAAGGUAAGGUCUGUGAAGAUCAACAGUGUGAUGAGGCACUGGAUUGUAAGGUAAGGUCUGUGAAGAUUAACAGUGUGAUGAGGCACUGGAUUGUAAGGUAAGGUCUGUGGAGAUCAACAGUGUGAUGAGGCACUGGAUUGUAAGGUAAGGUCUGUGAAGAUCAACAGUGUGAUGAGGCACUGGAUUGUAAGGUCUAUGAAGAUCAACAGUGUGAUGAGGCACUGGAUUGUAAGGUAAGGUCUGUGAAGAUCAACAGUGUGAUGAGGCACUGGAUUGUAAGGUAAGGUCUGUGAAGAUCAACAGUGUGAUGAGGCACUGGAUUGUAAGGUCUAUGAAGAUCAACAGUGUGAUGAGGCACUGGAUUGUAAGGUCUGUGAAGAUCAACAGUGAUGAGGCACUGGAUUGUAAUGUAAGGUCUGUGAAGAUCAACAGUGUGAUGAGGCACUGGAUUGUAAGGUCUGUGAAGAUCAACAGUGUGAUGAGGCACCGGGUUGUAAGGUCUGUGAAGAUCAACAGUGUGAUGAGGCACUGGAUUGUAAGGUCUGUGAAGAUCAACAGUGUGAUGAGGCACUGGAUUGUAAAGUAAGGUCUACUGAGUUUAGAAAAUGAAUUAUAAAUUACCUCUCCUUAAAGUUUAUUUUUGCUUUAAAGAUGAACAACAUAGAUGAAAAUCACUGUAUGUAAGUUUGUUGAAAAGUUUAGUGUAAGGUUUAUCAAGUAUUGCAAAAUAAAUUACAUAAGAAGUGGUCCUUAGCUUUCCUACAUAUAUUACUUGGGACAGUAGCUACUGUAUAUGUUGUUGAGGGGAAGGUGGUUUGGGGUUGGUAGUAGAUAUAGGUCUAACCAGAUUUCAGAUAGUGACAUUGUCAUUGUUAAGGGAGAGAACUAGAAAAAUAUGCUGAACAGAAAAUGUGUAUGUUUUUAAUGAUAGCCAGUUACGCUGCUGUUGCUUCCUAUCCUCAGAAGAAACUAACUACAAAGAAUGAACUGUUUGCUAGUUUAGAAUGUUUGAAUCCACAAACAAUUAACCUGUCAAGACUAAAUGAAAUUAUGUUUGCCAAAAACUCUCUAUUCCAGAUGGUGAGGUGAUGAAGACAAAAGAGGAAUGGAAAGUUCUUGCUGUAGAUGAUACCCUACAAGUGUCCUCCUUUAAAUGUGUGGAUCAUUUUUGUUUACCCAAACAGUGACAACUGUUUGUCCAGAGUAUCCUACAUUGAUAAAAGAUGAUAAGACGGCAUUAAUUUGGGAAUGUAGUUGUUACGUGUGGAUUGUCAGUUAACAGUUCCAUAGUAACACAAGAAAGAACAUUGUUUAGUGAAGUAGCAAUAAAUGGAUGAAGAAUCACUAAGGACAUUGUGAGGUUUCAAAUCCCAAACAACUGAAACCAGAAAAACUUCCUUUAUCCAAGCAAAUGCUAUCUGCUGUCAUGAAUACUUAUUUUGAGUAUCAGAGAAGAAUGCAGAGAGACCAAAACAAGAAAUAGAAAUGACAAAGCUGAAGAUGAAAAGAGUAAGAGAAAGCUUAAUGGUACAAAAGACACCUUCAUUGGAGAAAGAAAAAAACUAGCUGAAAAACAGAGAAGAAAAAUGAUGCAUUAACAUCUGUAUAUGAUCACCUGAAAGGAUGAAAUGAAAAAUACAGUUGAAAAGGAGGAUUUAAUAAAAGCUUCUGCUACUCAAUUAGUGAUUGAUACAGCUAUCAAUAAGACAGGAGAAUACACAAAAACAUUGACUGAUUUUACACAAGAGCAAAAAUAAAUUGAAGAAAAGAAACUUCAGACAAAAAUCUACACUUCAAACACGCUAAUCCAAAGAGACAGAAGGUGUCAUUGCCCCUCAGAAAGUCCACCUCCCACAGUAAAGACUCACAGAAAUCAUCUGGUAGACAUUCAGGGUUGUUUUUUUGUAAGUCAUCAGGAUCAUGAAAAGAAUAGGCAACAUCUAAAAGUUCAGCUUCAUACAAAAACUGCAGACCCUGCAGAAAUGCAAAUCAUGAAAGGCAUUAAAAGUUGUAUAAGUCGGGAAUCUAAGUAGAAAACUGUAGAUAUCUUGUUUUAGUAUAGCUUUAUAAUCAGUUAUCAAACCUUUUUUAAUGUAAGCAUGACAUGAGUUAUUAUUUGUUAUUGUAAAUUAAGAUUUGUACUUCCUUGUCAUUUGUCAAAAUGUGGUAUGGAAUGGCUGUGAGGGGUGGUGGAAACCAUUGAAAUAUUUGAUAUUUGUUGUAUAUUUUACAAUUUUCUGCAUGUGUAUAACAUUUGAAUACUUACCAGAAUUCUAAGUGUUGAUAAUUUUGAGUCUGUAUAUAAAGAAAGGGUGUUUUUAUCUCCAGGUUGUUCAGCUGAUCAGAGAAGAGAUCCUACCACAGGCUAAACACAUUCCAAAAGAAUUUAUCUUGAAAAUUGUCUCAUUGUUGAACAAAGGAUCAAUUCACUCAGCAACAGGGUCACCCACUGUUGAUACAGAAUCUAGCAGGAAGUUGAGAGAAGAAUUUGCUAAGUCAUGUUUUGAAACAUUACUCCAAUUCUCCUUCCUAAGUGGAACUGCUGAUGCAGAACCACUAGAGGGCAGUACUUUACAUGGUGGUGUAGUUAACAAGUUAGCAGUAACAUCACUUUUACACCGCUUCCAAGAAGUAAUCAAGAAGUAUGUUGAGGAUGAACGGCUCAGUGGGAAGUGCCCUCUUCCACGUCAUCGCAUGGCAGAGAUUUCUUUUGUUCUCAAAGCUGUUGCAACCUUGACUGCUUCACUGAAAAAGGCUCCACCUGAAAAUGUGGAAUGGAGUGUAUGGCAGCAGCUUAUUGGCUUGUAUCCCCACCUGGUGGAUUGCACCACGUCCACCUCGGCCCAGGUGUGCCGAUCCUUAAGAGAAGCUCUUCAUGAAUACGUUAGUCUUCUAAGCCCUCCACAUGGUCAGGUGAUAAAUGGA
Limulus polyphemus (Atlantic horseshoe crab) is the source of this 3082-nucleotide RNA transcript. It is a transcript of the gene named protein MON2 homolog, with no coding region annotated. Lineage: Eukaryota; Metazoa; Arthropoda; Merostomata; Xiphosura; Limulidae. The record is from RefSeq and is a predicted model, not a curated record. The transcript is spliced from 6 exons.